This 293-nucleotide ribosomal RNA is filed under the name uncultured bacterium. Its description in RNAcentral is "partial 16S ribosomal RNA". It matches the Rfam family "Bacterial small subunit ribosomal RNA", at positions 505 to 796 of the family's 1533-position model. The record is from RNAcentral.
GUGCCAGCAGCCGCGGUAAUACGUAGGGUGCGAGCGUUAAUCGGAAUUACUGGGCGUAAAGCGUGCGUAGGCGGUUUCAUAAGCUUGAUGUGAAAGCCCCGGGCUCAACCUGGGAAUGGCAUUGAGGACUGUGGAGCUAGAGUGCGGCAGAGGGAGGUGGAAUUCCACGUGUAGCAGUGAAAUGCGUAGAGAUGUGGAGGAACACCGAUGGCGAAGGCAGCCUCCUGGGCCGACACUGACGCUGAGGGCACGAAAGCGUGGGGAGCAAACAGGAUUAGAAACCCGCGUAGUCC